GUGAGGAUGUGUGCCGCAACGGAGCUGUGAAGUGACCCCUGUCGGAUCUGA
RNAcentral lists this small nucleolar RNA (51 nucleotides) under Pyrobaculum calidifontis JCM 11548. RNAcentral's name for it is "PCAsR128". The record is from RNAcentral. Lineage: Archaea; Thermoproteati; Thermoproteota; Thermoprotei; Thermoproteales; Thermoproteaceae.